Non-coding RNA from Mycena rosella, 100 nucleotides. NCBI's taxonomy places the organism in Eukaryota, Fungi, Basidiomycota, Agaricomycetes, Agaricales, Mycenaceae. The record is from the annotation of a GenBank genome assembly.
GGCGUCAUAGCUCAGUUGGGAGAGCAGCAGACUGAAGUACACAUGGCAGGAUGGUCAAAAAGUCAUCUGAAGGUCCCGUGUUCAAGCCACGGUGAUGCCA